AAAAACAUGUCUUUUUGAUUAUAAUUUAAGGUCUGACCUGCCCAAUGAUUGUUUUAAAUGGCUGCAGUAUUUUGACUGUACAAAGGUAGCAUAAUCAUUAGUUUCUUAAUUAGGAGCUGGUAUGAACGGUUUGAUGAAAAAUUAACUGUCUCUAUUCAAUUGAAUUAGAAUUUUAUUUUUAAGUGAAAAAGCUUAAAUUUUUUAUAAAGACGAGAAGACCCUAUAGAGUUUUAUAUUUUUAUAAUUUUUAAUUUUAUGUUUUUAUUUUUAAUUAUCAUUGAAAAUAUUUUGUUGGGGUGACAGAAAAAUUUAAUUAACUUUUUUUAAUUUUUACACUAAUUGGUGAAUUUAUGAUCCUUUAUUAGAUUAGAAGAUUAAAUUACCUUAGGGAUAACAGCGUAAUUUUUUUUGAAAGUUCUUAUUGAUAAAAAAGUUUGCGACCUCGAUGUUGGAUUAAAAUUUGUUUUUGGUGUAGAAGCUUUAAAACUAGGUCUGUUCGACCUUUAA
This 507-nucleotide ribosomal RNA is filed under the name Oodescelis punctatissima. RNAcentral describes it as "partial 16S ribosomal RNA". It matches the Rfam family "Bacterial large subunit ribosomal RNA", at positions 1811 to 2591 of the family's 2925-position model. Lineage: Eukaryota; Metazoa; Arthropoda; Insecta; Coleoptera; Tenebrionidae. The record is from RNAcentral.